RNAcentral lists this ribosomal RNA (864 nucleotides) under uncultured bacterium. Its description in RNAcentral is "bacterial SSU rRNA". It matches the Rfam family "Bacterial small subunit ribosomal RNA", at positions 8 to 853 of the family's 1533-position model. The record is from RNAcentral.
AGAGUUUGAUCCUGGCUCAGGACGAACGCUGGCGGCGUGCCUAAUACAUGCAAGUUGAACGAUGAUUUCUGGUACUUGUAUCAGAAUGAAGAGUAGCGAACGGGUGAGUAACGCGUGGGUAACCUACCUCUUAGCGGGGGACAACUAUUGGACAACGAUAGCUAAUACCGCAUAACAAUAUUAAACACAUGUUUAAUAUUUGAAAGUACCAAUUGGUACACUAGGAGAUGGACCCGCGUUGUAUUAGCUAGUUGGUAGUGUAAUGGACUACCAAGGCGAUGAUACAUAGCCGACCUGAGAGGGUGAUCGGCCACAUUGGGACUGAGACACGGCCCAAACUCCUACGGGAGGCAGCAGUAGGGAAUCUUCGGCAAUGGACGAAAGUCUGACCGAGCAACGCCGCGUGAGUGAAGAAGGUUUUCGGAUCGUAAAACUCUGUUGUUAGAGAAGAACGUUGUGUAGAGUGGAAAAUCACACAAGUGACGGUAUUUAACCAGAAAGGGACGGCUAACUACGUGCCAGCAGCCGCGGUCAUACGUAGGUCCCGAGCGUUGUCCGGAUUUAUUGGGCGUAAAGCGAGCGCAGGUGGUUUAAUAAGUCUGAUGUAAAAGGCAGUGGCUCAACCAUUGUGUGCAUUGGAAACUGUUAGACUUGAGUGCAGUAGAGGAGAGUGGAAUUCCAUGUGUAGCGGUGAAAUGCGUAGAUAUAUGGAGGAACACCGGUGGCGAAAGCGGCUCUCUGGACUGUAACUGACACUGAGGCUCGAAAGCGUGGGUAGCAAACAGGAUUAGAUACCCUGGUAGUCCACGCCGUAAACGAUGAGUGCUAGUUGUUUGGGGCUAUCCAGCCCUAAGUGACGCAGCA